This is a non-coding RNA of Acanthosepion pharaonis, 98 nucleotides long. The record is from the annotation of a GenBank genome assembly. Lineage: Eukaryota; Metazoa; Mollusca; Cephalopoda; Sepiida; Sepiidae.
UAGAAACACCGGUUCCAGUACAAUCACCGAAGUUAAGCAAUGUCACACCUGAUUAGUACCUCGAUGGGUGACCACUUGGGAAUAUCUGGGGCUGUAAU